Molecule: ribosomal RNA, 496 nt
Filed under: uncultured bacterium
Lineage: Bacteria
Description: partial 16S ribosomal RNA
Rfam family: Bacterial small subunit ribosomal RNA
Source: RNAcentral
GAUGAACGCUGGCGGCGUGCCUAAUACAUGCAAGUCGAGCGAACAGACGAGGAGCUUGCUCCUCUGACGUUAGCGGCGGACGGGUGAGUCACACGUGGAUACCCAACCUUAAGGGCUGACGAACCUAAGGCAAUCCGAAUAAAUCACCGGAUAUACACUUGAACGCAAGGUUUCACAAGAAAAGGCGGGUUUGGUGGUGCCUAUUGCAGGUUCCGUGGCUGAUUAGGUAGUUGGUUAGGUAACGGCUUACCAAGGGCACGAUUCGUAGCCGGACUGAGAGGGCGAUCGGCCACACUGGAACUGAGACACGGCCCAGACUCCUACGGGAGGCAGCAGUAGGGAAUCUUCCGCAAUGGGCGAAAGCUUGACGGAGCAACGCCGCGUGAGGGAUGAAGGUCUUCGGAUCGUAAAACUCUGUUAUUAGGGAAGAACAAAUGUGUAAUUAACUAUGCACGUCUUGACGGUACCGAAUCAGAAAGCCACGGCUAACUACGUG